This 451-nucleotide ribosomal RNA is filed under the name uncultured bacterium. RNAcentral describes it as "bacterial SSU rRNA". It matches the Rfam family "Bacterial small subunit ribosomal RNA", at positions 29 to 507 of the family's 1533-position model. The record is from RNAcentral.
AAUGAACGUUGGCGGCGUGGAUUAGGCAUGCAAGUCGCGCGACAAGGAACCUUCGGGUUCUGGAGGAGCGGCAAACGGGGUAGUAAGGCAUCGGAACGUACCCUCUUGUUGGGAAUAGCCGCGGGAAACUGCGAGUAAUGCCCAAUAAUCCCUACGGGGCAAAGGUCCGCCGCGUGAGGAGCGGCCGAUGCGAUACUAGAUAGUUGGUGGGGUAAUGGCCUACCAAGUCUAAGAUGUCUAGGGGGUGUGAGAGCAUGGCCCCCACCACUGGGACUGAGACACUGCCCAGACACCUACGGGUGGCUGCAGUCGAGAAUCUUUGGCAAUGGGCGCAAGCCUGACCAAGCGACGCUGCGUGCGGGAUGAAGGCCCUUGGGUUGUAAACCGCUGUCAGGGGGGAUCAAGGCGAAAGCUUGAGAGAGCCCCAGAGGAAGCACGGGCUAAGUUCGUG